Molecule: transfer RNA, 69 nt
Filed under: Dipodomys ordii (Ord's kangaroo rat)
Lineage: Eukaryota; Metazoa; Chordata; Mammalia; Rodentia; Heteromyidae
Rfam family: tRNA
About the family: Transfer RNA (tRNA) molecules are approximately 80 nucleotides in length.
Source: Rfam by way of RNAcentral
GGUAUGUGGCUUAGUGGUAGAGUGCUUGCCUAGCAUGCAUGAAGUUCUGGGUUCAAUUCCUCAGUACCA